CAAGGAGUUCGAAUGCUUUCUGCUGGUUCUGGGAUGUUUUGUGGCCUGCCUUAUUUUAACAGCAGUCUAGUGAAUGGACAGCUCUUGUAGCACUAAAGUGCUUAUAGUGCAGGUAGUGAUCACUAAUCUACUGCAUUAUAAGCACUUAAAGUACUGCUAGCUGUAGAACUACAUACUCAGCGUGUCUUACAGUUUAUUUGUUGUUUAAUUGAACACUGUUCUCUGGUUAGUUUUGCAGGUUUGCAUCCAGCUGUAUAAUACUCUGCUGUGCAAAUCCAUGCAAAACUGACUGUGGCAGUGACAAGUCAGUCAGUCAGUGUGGAGAUACUGUACCCCUUUCUACACAGGUUGGGAUCAGUUGCAAUGCUGUGUGUGUCUGUGGUAUUGCACUUGUCCCGGCCUGUUGAGGUUGGUGGGGAUAGAGGCUGAAACACCUUCAUAGUUUUAAGGAAUUUCGCCUUCACUGAUCCAGGAAACUUAAGAUUUUAAGUUUCUUCUUGAAAAAAAUGUCAUGUAAUUUUCCGUGUAACUAGAUUUUGGUUUUCUGUAUUUGGCUUUUUGUUUGUAUGUACCGGAUUUAUUACUGAUAAUAUGUAUUUACUGAAAUCUUGAGUUUGGAUUUUUUUUUUUAAAGGCUGUUAUGAGCUUUCUAUUAAACCAAGGUGGAUACUUAUUUACACUUUCUUCAUGAAUUUGUUGGUAAGAAAUGGAUCUUGGGUAUUAGAAAAUCUGAAUGAAAGUUCUGACUUGUUCAGUAUAAGGUUGCUUUUAAAAUUAAGAUUACAUGAAGAAUUCAGCAGCUUUCUUUUGUAAUGCUUUUUAUUAUAUUGAAACUGGUAAUAGAGUGCAUUUUUAGCCCUAGUUCCUCCAUCCAGAACUUGUUAAGUUAAAGAGUAAUAAAUCAGGUUACAAACAGGUUCUUAGUAAUUUCUUAGCUAUGGAAUCUUUAAUACUAGUCAGGUGCCCACUUCUUCUGGGUUAUCUACAUCUGUGGUGAGCAUAACAGUGGUCAAAUCUUAACCUUUAGAGUGAAUCACUUACCAUGUGAUCCAUACCAAGAAAAUGGGACAUCUCUUGAGCUACCUGAAUAACUUUACUUAUGGGAAAAACUUGUGUGUAUAACUGCUUCAGAGAAGCUGAGGUUGCUAAGGGGAAGAUGUAACUGGCUCCAUGAGGAAGUGUUGAUGUAAAAUCUAGAAGUGGAGCAUUCAACAUGAAUGAGUAGUGUGUUACUAAACUUCACUUGCAGCUUAAGCAUUAAAUGUUUUGUUUCCUAAAACAGCCUUCUAGAGAACUAAUGCUGUAAAUUCAAAGUACUAAAUUGGUUGCUUAGUCACCAGACUAUAUAGUACUCUGAAGUACCUUUGUGGUAGGAAAAUUAAGAGUAUUUGGGUCAAUGCUGCCCUUGCUAUUCUUGUGUUAAGUUAAAAGGGAAUACUAAGCUAUAUGGGUCAUUGUUCCUAAGAGUGCUGAACACUAUCCAGAGUCAAGCAACAAGCACAAUGUUGCCUUGGAAUAUUGCUCUGUCCUCUAGCAAGACAUGAAGAAUUCUUAGAUGGGUUUGGUGUCUUGUAAGUUUCUGAAGUAGCCAAGCCAACUUAGGCUUCUGUGUGCUACUCAAUUUCUGCCUGUUUUUUCUACUCCUGUUACUUUAGAAUGUAUUGCUCAGAUAGCGUUCUUGACCAAAGUCAUCUUUCCCAUGCUUAAAAUUUGCUUUUUAGUUUAGCUGAUUAGAGAAGACUUUUGUCAGUAAAGUCAGAUGAAGAUGUGUGUUUUCAUUCUGAUUUCUAUACAAUAAGCUUCUGUAGUAAUUUGGUGAUGGCAGUUUAACUCCUUUUGAGUGUAAAAGCAGGAAGCGUUUUAAUAUGCGUUCAUAUUUACACUGCCAUGUAGGCAGUUGGAGUUGUAUAUUACAGUUAAAAAAAGAAGCUUGUUAAAAAUGAAUGCUUGCAGAAGCAGUUUUUAUGCCCAUGGAACCUUAAAUUAGCUGUCAGAUAAGUUGAAGUGUACAAAGUUCUAAUACUUUGUGUGAAAACUAACUGACAAGAAGUGUUGCCAUCAUUUAUUAUUUUAAUUACUUGGACUCCAAAAAAUACUUUUACAUGGUGCAAGUGUGAGGAAUAACUUUGUGACUGUCAUACAGCAUUCUAAAGACACAGUAAUCUGUGCUUAAUUCAAGGGACAAUUAUAACAGUGCCUGUGUAAACUGUAGAAUCAGUCUUACUUGUAUGCUUUCAGUACAGCUUUGGCAUAUUAAUAAUAUAAUUUAUGCUAUCAGAAGUUUCAGGUUAAUUACGCAUGCUCUCUUCCGAAAGUGUCUAGAGCUUUUUUCCAACUCAUUCUAAUGUAUCAUAGCUUUCUAAUGGAUAUGUGUGAAUAGAAUAUUGCCCUGUACAUCAAGUUCAGUGUAAAUUGUUUUUCUCCUGUUUUUUAUAGUCACUUGAGUAUCUCCUAAGGAAUGAUGGUUAAUCCUGUGUAUGUUAGUUUCAGUGUAGCUGAGACACAGAACUGUAGUUGACAUAAAACUGUAGGAAGGGAAGUAAUGCUGCUGAGUUCAGCUGGGCUUAAAGAAAAAAGCUCAGCCUUGUCCCUGAUGUUUCUUUAAAGGUUGACUGGAGUUGGAGUAGUAAGGCAGCUAAAACAAGUGCCAGUUUGAAAAUGCUGCAGAAACACCAAGAAGCAUUUUCUGCAGAUGUGUUCAGCUGACUAUUAAAACUGCCAUGUGGAUGAGAAACUUAUUUUUUUCUGCUGGCUUUGAUACAGGUGGUACUCUUAGACUGAGAUUCUGGAUUGGUACAAGGUGGUGCUAUGGCAGAAGCAUUCCUUGGAAUUUAAUGGUCCUUACCAUUGUGAUGAGACCAGUCCUGUGCUUGGAAGCAUGACCUUUCAAAGUUUCCUCACCCAGGUUGCCUAGAACCUCUUUGUGAGUAUCUGGUUUUGGCCUGAUGUCCAAAUUCACCACUCCUUGGAGAAAUAAAAGCAAUAUAUUAGUAGACUGGUGGGGAGGUUGCCUUGAUGAUCUCCUGAAGUCCCUUCCAACCCCUACCAUUUUACGAUUCUAUGACUUCAGCUGAUACGUAGUGUGCUAAAGAAAUCAGUGUUGCUUCUAUAGGGCAGUGACACCACUGUGUGUUUGGCAAGGCAGGGCAUGUAAGGUGUUUUUUCAUGUGGUAGUUUUAACCUGUAGAACUGGUGCAUUAAUCAGUUGAAUCUUCUGUGUGAUUUAAACACCCUGUCAGCCGCAGCUAGCUGCUGCACUCUUCUGUUCUCAAAGGAGAGAUCUAUCCCUCUUACUCAGAAUGGGAAUAUCCUCAUCUGUUUACUUUUCAUGGUCCCAACAAAAUCAGAACAUCUCAGGUCUCUGGUGUGCUCUCUACAGUUGGGAAGUUCAUGCAUACCUUAUUCUGAGAGCGUGGUGAAUGGUAAGGACAGAUACUGAUAAUCCUGAUUUACCUGGUCUGUCUGUUUUAAGUUUUGGGGUAGUUUGCCUUUUACUAAAGAGUUCUCAAGCUCUUAGAUCUCCCAAAAAGUCUGAAAGUGCAGCAUUUGUGCCAGUCUUCCUUGACGUCACGUUUAAAAAUGAUGCUACUGUAAAAUGAGACUUUUGACCUAAAAUAUCAGAAUGUUAAGCAUACUUCUUGGACAUAUCUGGAGGGAGUACUAAGGACAAGGACUGUUUUGUGUGCAAGUGGAAUGGAAUGUUGUAGCACUGUUUUAACAAUAAAAAUUAGUUACAUGGGAAGGAAAAAAACUUAGAACAUGAUAAGUAGGAGAGUGUUAAUAAGGAGGAGUAGCUGUUUAAUUUCUUAUUUUGCUUAACCUCUAACAAAAUAUGUUUUCAGACCUGUAAGUGAUGCUCGGAUUCCUUCAUUUAGGAAGCCUAAUAAGCAGGUAAAACCACAGCUUAUUGGUGUCUAUCUAAUGUGUUGCUUCUAACCUAAGUGCCUUUUGGAGCUUCCAGUCUUCCUGACUAAUAUGUCCAGGGAUACCAGAAGUGAACUCAGAAACUUAGCUAUGAUCUCACAGAUUAAACACUGUGACUUCAAAAAAUACAUGCUUUUUUGGAUGUAUAGAUACAAAACCACACUCUGAUGAAGAUUAACCUAAAAAGAUGUGUAUAGCAUUUGUUGUAAUAGACCUACUUUUAUUUAAUGAAUCUCAGUUACUUCUAAACUAAUCAAUGCUUUUGAUGAAAUGUUUGAUAGAAAGCUUUUCUUUUACAGCUGCCAAAUUGUCACGUUCCAAUCCCAAGUUGUCCAGUUUUUUGAGCAGGUAAUUUUGUAUUCAUGUAUAGAACUUGCACAACAAUGUAAGUAGCAGGAGUCAAGGUACAAUUUGGAAGGUUCUUUAUCCACUGUAUGGAGGUGUGGACUGUUUCAGCUUCUAUGGUAAAGGUAUAUAUUGCUUCCCCACAGGUUGCAAUUUCAGUAUUCUAGGACUGAGGCUGAAGGGUGUAGGUAGAUGAUCUUUCUGAUUCUCUAUUGUGUUUUGAUUUUUUGUUUGUUUGCUUGUUUUUUAAGAUGAUGGGAAUCCUGUUUUAAAACUUGAAUACAACUUUGGAAUUUCGCCUUGAAUUAGCCUCAAGUGAGGCUUUCCCUGAGCAUACAGAGUAAAAAACUAACUAUGCUCACAAAUGACAGUACAUCUUUGACCUUGAGGGGCCUGAGAAAUGUGUUACAAACAAACCAGGAGCUUUCCUAAUUUCAUCAAACUUCAGGAAAUGUUUUUCUUCACAGCUGCUUCUUGUUUCUUCAGUCUGCACUUUUUCUCUCUUACAAUAUGUAUAUGUGGCUCUGUACAAGUGUGUAUACCUAUUGUGUGUGUAAAUGUAUGUAUAUUGGGAAUGCUACUAGUACACAAAUACUAGUCUGUAUUUAUGUCCACACAAUGUAGGAAAAAAAGCCAGUUCAUUAAUAAAAUUACUUCCUGCAUAAUACCUGCUAUAAAUGAUCCGGAAACAGAAGGAAUCUCUGUAACCUGGCAAAACUUCAACCUUUCUUCUGUAUUCCCUCAGUCUCAUUGGUGGUGUCUAGGAAAUUAAAUUCUUCCCAAAAAACCUCUGUGUUAGGAAGGGGAAGAAACUGUUUUUUGCUUGAAUGCAUUUUCUGAUUACUGAAAUCAGCUGUGGACACUACAGGUGCUGUACCUGGAAGCACCAGAAGUUUUCUGGUUUUUAAAUCCUGAAAUACUGGCAAGGUUGAGGGCGUUUUUUCCCUAGCUGGAUUGCAAACGUGGAAAUGCCCAGAAGUGUUAAAGAGUAGUGGGGGGUGCAAUUGGACAAAAUCAGGGGAAACUGACUUAGGGAUGUUUAAAGAAAGUGUGACUGGUAAUUCAAGUAGUUGAGAAGUCACAGAUGGAAGUACAUGGAGGAGGAAAGUAAGGCUUUUCCCUAGGACUCUGCUAUUACAUUUCAGAUACUGAGUGAACAGAGCUGUAGUAGGACCUUGCUACAGCCCUUAUGUGCUCAUGGGGGAGGAUUUUUUCUCCAUCAGGGAACUGGGUGUCAAUACAGUCGCAACAGAGUUAGGAUGGCUUAAAUAUCUGAAGAAAGAUUUAUGUAAUAAAAAUUAUCAUAGUGGAUCUAAUAAGGUAUUUCUUGCUGUGGAGUCUGUCUUAGUUAUAAUGGUUUUCUUAGAUGCUUCAGCUAUUACUUCAUAGUACUGUGUACAAUAUUGUGUUAAUACAAAGAAAAAGUUAUCUGCUUUAUAAGAAGUUCUGGGCUUCUCACAGUUGAGCUGUGUGCUUGACUCAUCUAGUAGCUUGCUUUGUCUUGUGUGCUACCUCAGGACAGCUGUGCUGUAUUAUAAAUUCAGCUUGUUCCAAGAUGCUUUGCAAACUGAAAUUAGUACUAGAUAAUGUUGUUAGCUGGUCACAAUUCUCAAUAAACUUAAA
This is a long non-coding RNA of Apus apus (common swift), 5892 nucleotides long. RefSeq lists it as uncharacterized. The transcript is spliced from 3 exons. Lineage: Eukaryota; Metazoa; Chordata; Aves; Apodiformes; Apodidae. The record is from RefSeq and is a predicted model, not a curated record.